RNAcentral lists this small RNA (670 nucleotides) under Rattus norvegicus (Norway rat). RNAcentral describes it as "uncharacterized LOC102550684". Lineage: Eukaryota; Metazoa; Chordata; Mammalia; Rodentia; Muridae. The record is from RNAcentral.
CCGGGUGGGAGAGGGGAAGAGAGGAAUCAGGAAAAAGUGACUUGCUUUUGGCCUGGGAGAGCUUGAAGGAAAAAUGUAGCUAAGAGGUCCCUGGUUUCCGUCACCAGAGGAACUUAUCUUCGAAUGGCUUACAAAAUUAGGAUGCUAGUUGCUUCCCCCAACGAUUGCGUUACCUGCUGAUUCUAUGGGAUCACAUGGAGAGGAGGAGAAAGCUGCCGGGAGAACAGUGGUUCAGUGACCAGAAAAUCCUCUUUUCCCCAAGCCACACACAAAACACACGAUUCAGGGGCUGGACUCACACUGAGAAGCUAUUAGCAGCUGAUGCAGGGUGAGGAAAAGAGAGUCAUUGUCUUCAGUGAUGCAGCUGCUGUUGAGAUACCCAGGCACCACAGGUGGGAAGAUCCACAUUUAAUCUGGGCCACACCUUCUGCUGGCAUAUCGAAGACGUAGAAGAAACCUCUCCUCUGCCUGCUUGCCCUCACUCUGGCUAGCAAAUCCAUUCUGGAAUUAGAGCCUACCUCUGUGGGAUUCUGGCAUAUGCAGAAGACCAGAUGAGACAUUUAGCCUUAUGGAAAAACUCUGGAUGCUUGGACCUUCUGUUGAUAGACUGCCAAUAUUGGACUAGCAGGACCACAGCCUGUAAGCCACUCUAAAUAAACCUCUGUGUGUG